RNAcentral lists this unclassified non-coding RNA (282 nucleotides) under Hevea brasiliensis (rubber tree). Lineage: Eukaryota; Viridiplantae; Streptophyta; Magnoliopsida; Malpighiales; Euphorbiaceae. The record is from RNAcentral.
GGCUCUUAUGAAUCACAUAUUUCAACCCUAUUUGAGGAAGUUUGUGUCAGUAUUCUUUGAUGAUAUCCUCAUAUAUAGCUCAUCACGGGAACAACAUUUGCAAAACUUGGAAUUAGUGUUUGAAGUGUUGAAACAACAACGGCUGUAUGCCAAACUCAGUAAGUGUCCAUUUAGCAAAACUGAGAUAGAUUAUUUGGGCCUUAAUAUAUCUGAAAAGGGAGUUGCCACAGACCCUGCCAAGAUUCAAGCUGUUACGUAUUGGCCAACCCCUAAAUCAGUGAA